CAGAUGACCUCAUCCAGGACCCUCGACGUCAAGCGCAGCAGGAAGAAGAACGCGCCAAAGUCCGUCACCGCGCCGCUCGCGUCCUUCGACGACGACGAAGAUCUGAACAUCGCCCCUCUCGUCGCCGCCGAGCCGAAGGAGACCUCCACCAAGGACGCCACCGUCGCCGUGCUCGAGGCGCAGGUUGGUAAGGUCAUCGAGGUGAAGGUCACCGACGUCAACGACAAGAAGAUCGUCGUCUCCGAGCGCGCGCUGGUCCAGGAGCGCGGUGUCAAGAGGCUCAAGCCCGGCGUCCGAGCAUCCGCGCAGGUUGUCUCCCUCUCCGAUUUUGGCGCCUUUGUGGAGCUCUCGCAGGACGAUC
RNAcentral lists this long non-coding RNA (361 nucleotides) under Micromonas commoda. RNAcentral describes it as "long non-coding RNA (MCOM_LNC000176)". The record is from RNAcentral. Lineage: Eukaryota; Viridiplantae; Chlorophyta; Mamiellophyceae; Mamiellales; Mamiellaceae.